This 329-nucleotide long non-coding RNA is filed under the name Mytilus galloprovincialis (Mediterranean mussel). The record is from RNAcentral. Lineage: Eukaryota; Metazoa; Mollusca; Bivalvia; Mytilida; Mytilidae.
CUGCCCGCUAGACAUGUACACUUAACAAUCAUUCCAUACAACAAAUAUAGUAGACCUAUUGCAUAUGGUAUGAGAAAAACAGACCAAAACACAAAAAUUUAACUAUAACCACUGAACCAUGAAAAUGAGGUCAAGGUCAGAUGACACCUGCCAGUUGGACAUGUACACCUUACAGUCCUUCCAUACACCAAAUAUACUAGCCCUAUUGCUUAUAGUAUCUGAGAUAUGGACUUGACCACCAAAACUUAACCUUGUUCACUGAUCCAUGAAAUGAGGUCGAGGUCAAGUGAAAACUGUCUGACGGGCAUGAGGACCUUGCAAGGUACGCA